GGCCUGCUGGUCCAAUGGAUAAGGCGCAACCCUCUUAAGGUGGAGAUUCCGAGUUCGAUCCUCGGGUAGGAUA
This is a non-coding RNA of Perkinsus marinus ATCC 50983, 73 nucleotides long. The record is from Rfam. NCBI's taxonomy places the organism in Eukaryota, Perkinsozoa, Perkinsida, Perkinsidae.